RNAcentral lists this ribosomal RNA (253 nucleotides) under uncultured bacterium. RNAcentral describes it as "partial 16S ribosomal RNA". It matches the Rfam family "Bacterial small subunit ribosomal RNA", at positions 524 to 776 of the family's 1533-position model. The record is from RNAcentral.
UACGGUGUGUGCAAGCGUUACUCGGAAUCACUGGGCAUAAAGAGCACGUAGGCGGGCUCGCUAGUCAGAUGUGAAAUCCCCCAGCUCAACUGGGGAACUGCAUCUGAUACUGCGAGUCUUGAGGACGAAAGGGGAGAGUGGAACUUCUGGUGGAGCGGUGAAAUGCGUAGAUAUCAGAAGGAACACCGGUGGCGAAGGCGACUCUCUGGUUCGUUUCUGACGCUGAGGUGCGAAAGCGUGGGUAGCAAACGGG